AUGUUCUUGCAUAUACUUUUGCACUUCAUUAGUUGCCUAAUUGGUAUAGUUACUUACUACUGUUGCCGUGAUGAAAAGGAGCAAAUGGAGUUACAUGUUGCUAUGCAGUACUGGUGUUGGCGCGCUGACAACUGGAAGGCCAGUGAUGAGCUGUACGCCUGCAGUUCGUGGACGAGCUUGGCGGCGUCCCCGGCAACCUGGCCAGCGCCAUCCACGGCACAUCCAGCAGGCUCGUCGACCGUACAAAGGAGUGUCUCCUGCUUGCCAUCCGCACCGAGUGCUCGCACCUCCAUGCCAGGGUCGUUCAAGUGUCACAACACGCCGAGCUGA
Molecule: ribosomal RNA, 330 nt
Filed under: Triticum aestivum (bread wheat)
Lineage: Eukaryota; Viridiplantae; Streptophyta; Magnoliopsida; Poales; Poaceae
Description: partial small subunit ribosomal RNA
Source: RNAcentral